This 808-nucleotide ribosomal RNA is filed under the name uncultured cyanobacterium. Its description in RNAcentral is "bacterial SSU rRNA". It matches the Rfam family "Bacterial small subunit ribosomal RNA", at positions 36 to 890 of the family's 1533-position model. Lineage: Bacteria; Bacillati; Cyanobacteriota. The record is from RNAcentral.
CUGGCGGCGUGCUUAACACAUGCAAGUCGAACGAACCUUCGGGUUAGUGGCGGACGGGUGAGUAACGCGUGGGAAUCUGCCCUCAGGAGGGGGAUAACGGUUGGAAACGACCGCUAAUACCCCAUAUGCCGAGAGGUGAAAUGAAUUUCGCCUGAGGAUGAGCCCGCGUCUGAUUAGCUUGUUGGUGAGGUAAUGGCUCACCAAGGCUUCGAUCAGUAGCUGGUCUGAGAGGAUGAUCAGCCACACUGGGACUGAGACACGGCCCAGACUCCUACGGGAGGCAGCAGUGGGGAAUUUUCCGCAAUGGGCGAAAGCCUGACGGAGCAACGCCGCGUGAGGGACGAAGGCCUCUGGGCUGUAAACCUCUUUUCUCAAGGAAGAAGAUAUGACGGUACUUGAGGAAUAAGCCACGGCUAAUUCCGUGCCAGCAGCCGCGGUAAUACGGGAGUGGCAAGCGUUAUCCGGAAUUAUUGGGCGUAAAGCGUCCGCAGGCGGCCUUUCAAGUCUGCUGUUAAAGCGUGGAGCUUAACUCCAUCAUGGCAGUGGAAACUGAUAGGCUUGAGUAUGGUAGGGGCAGAGGGAAUUCCCGGUGUAGCGGUGAAAUGCGUAGAUAUCGGGAAGAACACCAGUGGCGAAGGCGCUCUGCUGGGCCAUAACUGACGCUCAUGGACGAAAGCCAGGGGAGCGAAAGGGAUUAGAUACCCCUGUAGUCCUGGCCGUAAACGAUGAACACUAGGUGUCGGGGGAAUCGACCCCUUCGGUGUCGUAGCUAACGCGUUAAGUGUUCCGCCUGGGGAGUACGCACGCA